CGCCCGAGCGCUCUCACACAAUCCAUCUCACCUUUGUGCAUCACCGCGUGGGUCGCCUUUGCGGGAGGGCUCACGUUUUCACAUAAAACUCGAUACAGUGUAGAAUGUUUCUUUUGCGGUCGCACGCAAUCAAUACAACUUUCAACAACGGAUCUCUUGGCUCUCGCAUCGAUGAAGAACGCAGCGAAAUGCGAUACGUAAUGUGAAUUGCAGAAUUCAGUGAAUCAUCGAAUCUUUGAACGCACCUUGCGCCCCUUGGCAUUCCGAGGGGCACACCCGUUUGAGUGUCGUGAAAUCUUCAAAAACCCUUUUUUCUUUGAACCAUUGUGGUCGGAAAAAGGAUUUUUGGACUUGGAGGCUUUAAUGCUUGCCCUUUCUUUUCUUUGAAAGCGAGCUCCUCUCAAAUGAAUUAGUGGGGUCCGCUUUGCUGAUCCUUGACGUGAUAAAAUGUUUCUACGUUUUGGGUUUAGCACUGUCCCUUGGAUGCCUGCUGCUAACCGUCUCA
RNAcentral lists this ribosomal RNA (505 nucleotides) under Russula xerampelina. RNAcentral describes it as "eukaryotic LSU rRNA". The stretch from base 137 to 290 matches the Rfam family "5.8S ribosomal RNA". Lineage: Eukaryota; Fungi; Basidiomycota; Agaricomycetes; Russulales; Russulaceae. The record is from RNAcentral.